RNAcentral lists this ribosomal RNA (549 nucleotides) under uncultured bacterium. Its description in RNAcentral is "partial 16S ribosomal RNA". It matches the Rfam family "Bacterial small subunit ribosomal RNA", at positions 355 to 900 of the family's 1533-position model. The record is from RNAcentral.
UGGGGAAUUUUGGACAAUGGGCGAAAGCCUGAUCCAGCAAUGCCGCGUGUGUGAAGAAGGCCUUCGGGUUGUAAAGCACUUUUGUCCGGAAAGAAAUCCUUGGCUCUAAUACAGUCGGGGGAUGACGGUACCGGAAGAAUAAGCACCGGCUAACUACGUGCCAGCAGCCGCGGUAAUACGUAGGGUGCAAGCGUUAAUCGGAAUUACUGGGCGUAAAGCGUGCGCAGGCGGUUUGCUAAGACCGAUGUGAAAUCCCCGGGCUCAACCUGGGAACUGCAUUGGUGACUGGCAGGCUAGAGUAUGGCAGAGGGGGGUAGAAUUCCACGUGUAGCAGUGAAAUGCGUAGAGAUGUGGAGGAAUACCGAUGGCGAAGGCAGCCCCCUGGCAAGUACUGACGCUCAUGCACGAAAGCGUGGGGAGCAAACAGGAUUAGAUACCCUGGUAGUCCACGCCCUAAACGAUGUCACUAGUUGUUGGGGAUUCAUUUCCUUAGUAACGUAGCUAACGCGUGAAGUUGACCGCCUGGGGAGUACGUCGCAAGAUUAAAAC